RNAcentral lists this ribosomal RNA (924 nucleotides) under uncultured bacterium. Its description in RNAcentral is "bacterial SSU rRNA". It matches the Rfam family "Bacterial small subunit ribosomal RNA", at positions 8 to 926 of the family's 1533-position model. The record is from RNAcentral.
AGAGUUUGAUCCUGGCUCAGGACGAACGCUGGCGGCAUGCCUUACACAUGCAAGUCGAACGGCAGCACGGAGCUUGCUCUGGUGGCGAGUGGCGAACGGGUGAGUAAUAUAUCGGAACGUACCCUAGAGUGGGGGAUAACGUAGCGAAAGUUACGCUAAUACCGCAUACGAUCUAUGGAUGAAAGUGGGGGAUUCGCAAGAACCUCAUGCUCGUGGAGCGGCCGAUAUCUGAUUAGCUAGUUGGUAGGGUAAAAGCCUACCAAGGCAUCGAUCAGUAGCUGGUCUGAGAGGACGACCAGCCACACUGGAACUGAGACACGGUCCAGACUCCUACGGGAGGCAGCAGUGGGGAAUUUUGGACAAUGGGCGCAAGCCUGAUCCAGCAAUGCCGCGUGAGUGAAGAAGGCCUUCGGGUUGUAAAGCUCUUUUGUCAGGGAAGAAACGGUGGUUUCUAAUACAAGCCACUAAUGACGGUACCUGAAGAAUAAGCACCGGCUAACUACGUGCCAGCAGCCGCGGUAAUACGUAGGGUGCAAGCGUUAAUCGGAAUUACUGGGCGUAAAGCGUGCGCAGGCGGUUAUGUAAGACAGAUGUGAAAUGCCCGGGCUUAACCUGGGAACUGCAUUUGUGACUGCAUGGCUAGAGUUUGGCAGAGGGGGGUAGAAUUCCACGUGUAGCAGUGAAAUGCGUAGAUAUGUGGAGGAACACCGAUGGCGAAGGCAGCCCCCUGGGUCAAGACUGACGCUCAUGCACGAAAGCGUGGGGAGCAAACAGGAUUAGAUACCCUGGUAGUCCACGCCCUAAACGAUGUCUACUAGUUGUUGGGUCUUAAUUGACUUAGUAACGCAGCUAACGCGUGAAGUAGACCGCCUGGGGAGUACGGUCGCAAGAUUAAAACUCAAAGGAAUUGACGGGGACCCGCAC